GGUCAAGUCCCGUGCGACUGAGACGAACUCAACCCCGCCAGGUCCGGAAGGAAGCAACGGUCAGUUUUUUCUCAGAGUGUUACGGUAAGCUUGACCAAU
This 99-nucleotide signal recognition particle RNA is filed under the name Ignavibacteria bacterium. RNAcentral describes it as "signal recognition particle sRNA small type". It matches the Rfam family "Bacterial small signal recognition particle RNA". Rfam says of the family: The signal recognition particle (SRP) is a universally conserved ribonucleoprotein involved in the co-translational targeting of proteins to membranes. Lineage: Bacteria; Pseudomonadati; Ignavibacteriota; Ignavibacteria. The record is from RNAcentral.